CCCCAGACAGGUCUAAGAAGUAGAUCUUUUAUGGACUGAAUAACAAAAUGUGAGGGCACAAAGCAUCUGGAAAGUGUUCCAAGAAAACCAAGCAUUUGAAAACAUGUAUUGCCAAAUGUUAUUAAGCAAAUAUCAGAGCUGCAGUUCCACAUGCAUAAGAAAUGCUGCCGUGGCUUCAAGUAUAAGGAGAAUAGCUGGAAUGCAUUCUAGAAGGGAAAAGUAGUCAGGGUCUGGGUAAGUCUCCCAUAAUCUUGUGAACUUCCUUGGCCAUAAACAAUCCUAAGUAAAGAAAUCUCCAAAUGACAACUUGGAAGCCUUCAGCAUUUAUGAGACAGGCUAAGGAAGAAUUAUGAGAGAGACUGGGAAGGGCAUAAAGAGACUUACUUUGGGGGGAAGAAAUGCAUUGCAUAGAAGGAGUAAAAACUACAGGGCACCUUCUCAUCUGAUGUAAUGCCAGACAGGAGUUCCCACAGAUAAUUAUUCUGAAGAUAUAAUCAUGUAGUGAAUUUGUGCCCUUAGACCAAUGCAAUGAACAAAUAAAAGCAUGCAUGAGGACCACAAGAAUUCCAGUCAUGACAACAGCAGGAAGGAUCAGCCAGGAGGGCAUUAUCCUCUUAUGCCUGCAAAUGCAAUUUUAAAUUGGAAUCUGAAUGAAGAUCUUUCUUGUGGGCACAUCUAUCCUGAUUCCUCUCUGAAAUACCUGGCCCUGACUGGCUGCUUUGGCAAGUCUUUCAGAAGUUAUUACAUUAAGAAAACAUUGAAGAUGAAUAUUUUCUCAGGUCAGUCUCCCAAAGCAAUAGAAAUUAGAGUAUGUUUUUUAAGUAUGCUAACCCCUUCCCAUAAUUGUGUGUUUUAGCCUGAUGGUCCUGUAAGUUCAAACACUUCAUUACUAUAUUAAAAUUAAGAAGAGAGACAUACAAACAAACAAAAAGGGUUAUUUACUUCCUAACAUCCCUUGCCCACAUUUUAUGGUUUUGAUGACUCUUUUUUAUUUUUUUCUUUUUAAUUUUAUUUUGUUUGAAGCAUGUUCAUGAUUAAAUCUGUAUGCUGGCUUAUCUGAGUGACUGCUCUCUGAUUGCGGUUUCCUCAGUCCUAGUUCUUCCUCUUCUUCUUCUUUUUUUUUUUUUUUCCCCUUUUCUUUUUUCUUCCCUUUCCUUCCUUUCUCUUUGGUUUAGAGAAGCCCCUUCAAUAUUUCCUUUAACCUGGGUUUUGUGUUGCUGUAUUCUUUAAGUUUUUGUUUGUUGGGGAAAAUUUUUAUUUCCCCUUCUAUUUUAAAUGAUAUUCUUGCUGGAUAGAGUAUUCUAGGUUGCAUAUUUUUUCCUUUUAGCACUUUAAAUAUCUCUUGCCAUUCCCUCCUGGCCUGUAGUGUUUCUGUAGAGAAAUCAGCUGAUAUUCUUAUGGGGGUUCCCUUGUAAGUAACAUUCUGUUUUCUCUCGCUGCCUUUAGGAUUUCUCUCGCUGCCUUUAGGAUCCUCCCCAUAUGGCCCUGCAAUCCCACUCUUGGGCAUCUAUCCGGACAAAACUCUACUUAAAAGAGACACAUGCACCCGCAUGUUCACUGCAGCCCUAUUCACAACAGCCAGGACAUGGAAACAACCCAAAUGUCUAUCGCCAGAUGAUUGGAUUCGGAAGAAGUGGAAUAUAUA
This 1645-nucleotide long non-coding RNA is filed under the name Sus scrofa (pig). RNAcentral's name for it is "lncRNA (ENSSSCG00060010107.1)". The record is from RNAcentral. Lineage: Eukaryota; Metazoa; Chordata; Mammalia; Artiodactyla; Suidae.